CUGAAAAAACCUGACAGAACUUCAAAACUUUAAUGCCAUCAAAUUCAUCAGACUAAACAGAGGCAAAUGACAGGACGGUUUCUAGGCCUGUCACUACAACAACUUUAAUGGACGAUAAAUUGGCCACAAUUUAUUGCAAUAAACAAUAAUGUCAUUUUGAGACAAUUUUUAAAUAUCCAAAAUAAACAAACAAAACAAUAAUUUAAGUGGAUGAUGAAGUCUCUGUAGCCAAAAUUUUAUUUUAACAGUAAAAGUCAGUUUAGACAAGAAAAACAAGCAAAAGUGGCAACCAGACUUUGUACUGGUUGUCAAAUGUUUGCAACGUUUCUCAAAAUGUCGACAUUUCAAUCAUUUUUAAGGGCAGCAUCUCUUUAACAACUGUUCACCAAAUGGAAACUAUUGAGCUCAUUUUAACUUCUGAUGUGAUUCAUCGAUUUAUAGCUUAUUGCGACAGGCUUAGCCGUUUCAUAGAUUUCUCUGCAAAACUCUCCGUCUUCUCCAAACAGAAAAACGUUAAUUUUGAAGGCAAAAAUCAUUGCAAUAAAUAAUAUUGUUGUUUUGAUUAAUUAACUAAUAAAGAUAAUGGCAAAAUAAUGCAAGCUUGUCCCGUCAAAGAUUGAUAAACUUUAAUUUUGUAAACAACACUCCACACAGGAACUGGAAGACAUUUUAAAUAUCCAAAAUAAAACACAACAAACGAGUUAAUAAAACAGAUAGUAAAAACCACAUGCAACCGAAAACAUAAAUAAAGUGGAUUAUGAUUUCUCUGAAAAGAAGGUUGCUCUUCAAAAAUAUUGAGCUUAUUUUAAUUUAUCAUGCAAUUAAUUAAGUCCUUAUUGUGACAAGCUUACCUGCAAGUCGUGUAAAUAAAAGAGACAUUUUGCCUUUUGCAGCUGCUCUUGUGUUGGAUUUCUCCUUCUGCAGCUAAUUUUGGAUUAACAAUCUGGCUUUGGAGCCAGAGUUCAUGGAAAAUCGGCUGGAGGCUGAAAGUAUCUGGUCUACGAUCAGCUUCUCUAUUUUUUAAUGUUACAGAAACUCUACAUAAACAUCUUUGUUUCAGAUACUUCCUGUAAUCCUGAACAAUCUGACCCAACAUAAAACCCUGAUUAAACAGAGGAGGAUUUACAGUAAAAAAUAAACAUUACAUAAACUUAUACAGGAAUGGUACAGGGAUCGGUAGCAGAUUAGUUUUGACGAAAAAAACAAUUCCACCUGAUCUUGUAAACCCUUUGACCUUCUCUGACAAUCUACCAUCGCUAUAGCUCAAUGGAAGAAGAAGUUUAUCUGAAACAGACUGUAUUAUAACUAAACUGUUUAUUCUAGAUGACAAAAAAUCUAAAAAAUUCCCAAAUGGGUGCAUGGAUGUUAAAUUUCUCCACAGUCAUAUCGAUUGUCUGAAUCGGAGAUCUGGAAUCUGUGUUAGAAAACUAAAUUUAUUCAGAAAACAGCGACCUGUAAAAUGGACUCUGAACCUUUUCACAUUUUGGCCUCUUGCAACCACAAGCUCGGCUGGAUUUUAACCAUUUUACAACACACACCCCGACAUACAACAGCAUGGUCCAGUCAAAGUUCUGACCAACAGCUGGUUCCAAAUUUUGUAGCAAGAUCUUCACUAAUGGUCAUAUCAGUAAACAUUCAGAUUUCCAAAGAAAAGCUGCUAGAGACAAACCAUAACAAACUCACAGCUGGAGUAAAAACAAAAUGUGACUUUACAAAGUACUGACUCAGCAGUAGCACACCACACUUUUCAGAUUUUUAUCUCUACUAAAAUGUAAUGCCACAAUGUUCAUCCACUUGACAACUAUGCUCUUUAGUCUAUCAUAUAAAAUCACCUAAAUUACAUUGAAGUUUGUGGAUUUAAUAUAGCAAAAUGUGGAAAAGUUUAAGUGGUAUGAAUACUUACAAAUGGGCAAGAAUAAACCUCAGUCAAUAGGUUUUACAGACAGAUUUACACCUGCUUUGGUGAUUGGAACUGAUAUAAUAUUGCUCAUAUUUGUUCAACAUUACCAUUUCCCUUCUCAUAUAAAAGCUGUUACUCAAACCUCAAACUAUACAAGUGCUAACGUUUACAUUGCUAACAUUCUAUCUGUAGACAAAGUGUGAACUGUUAUUCUCAAGGGAAAUUAGUUUUCCACUUAAAGGAAAACCUUCCACCCUUGUCUUCUCUGGCAGGAUUAGCACCAUUACCUUCAUAACAAAAGCAGCACAUCUUCAGUACUUUGACAUCGUUGUCGGUGUUUGUCUCAGAAUCACCAAGUUGUCACAUGAGUCAGAAUUUGAAAGUAACAAAUCACAACACUUAAAUUUCCAGAUGACAGAGUUCAACCUGUUCCCUGGGCCAGAAUGCUGCAUGUUGAAGAUGCUUAUCUGCAGCAGCACACAGGCUUUCACACAACCUGACAACUUACUGCUUUAGCUGACUUUUCUUUUUUUUGUAGCAGCAAAAACAAAAAAGCUUCAGAAACCUACAGAUAAUCAUGUCCUGUGAAUCAGGGUGGGGAAACACGGUCUCAUUAUCCACCAUUAUUAUUAAUAGACAAGUUAUGCUGCUGUCAUAAAGGUUAAAUACUGAACUCCUCACACCCCGGUCCUGGGCUCAGUCUUUGUUUCCUGCAGCAGAAUAGGACUCUGUAGCUAUCCGCUGCUGUUUGUGUUUCUAUUAAAAACAGAUUUGGUCCAAUAGGAAUCACAUCUAUGUCAGAACAUUAUUUACAUUUGCAACCCCAGUUACUUUAUGGAAUAAGAUUUGACAUAAAAAAUAAAGUAAUAUUUGGUGAAUUUAAGUGUUUAUAAAAUGUUUGCAUUCUCUACAAUUUAUAUUAAGCAUAUUAAGAAAUACCUUCAAAUAAACACUUAAUAUAUGGUAAAGAUGCAUAAUUAUUCAUUAUUUACAUACUCUGAAUUGUCACUAUUCUAUGUAGAUAAACAAACAACCAUUUAUCACAAACCCUGACUUGUUUUCAUUUACUUUUUCCCUUCUGAUACUGAUAUUGCAGGUCUGAGUAUUGACCUAUACUGAUACUGACCCAAUACAAUACCAGCAUGAAUCAUACAUACUUCUAAUACUGAUUCUGUCAUGUGGCAUGCUAGAAAAAGACCUGAUCAAGUGAUAUUAACCUGAGAUUUUAGAUGCAGGCCGAUAUAAUAGAUAGAUACUCAUUUUUGACUGAUAUCGGACCACUUUCCGAUAUCAGUACUGAAUCAGGACACCCCUGUUACUGCUAUGUACCUCCAACAUGUCCUGUAAUUUAUAUCACAGGUUCAUUCAGGAACACACUUAAAGUCAGUUAAUGUGAUUAAAAUAAAUAUUUGUCAUUUUUAUGUUACUUGAAUUAUUAAGUAACUGCACUGACUGAAUAGCAUAAGAACUGUAUAGGUGAACAGAAUAAACUGUUAUAGGAACAAUUAACCCAAUGAAUAUUAAAUAUUAAAAAAUAUUUAUUAAGCAACUAAAUAAAGACAGUUUUUUAAAUAUUAUUUUUAACCGUAGUGACUAAAUUGUAUUAAAAUAGCAUGAGUAAUUAUCACAAACUAUUUCUGUUUCAUGUAAACUUCAAGUCCUUCCAACUGUUACCUGUUUAUUUUUUAAUUAAUAUUUCUCAAUUAGACAGUGCGGCUAAAAAAAGACAAAAAGAUUUGAUAGAAAAUGUUUAUUUUUAACUUAAAUAUUUAGAGCCACACAGAAAUGUGAAAAAUAUAGAUUUAUUAUGAAGCAAUAGUAAAUGAACUGUACAAUUAUGUAGGUAAAUAGAAACUGU
Long non-coding RNA from Poecilia latipinna (sailfin molly), 3758 nucleotides. RefSeq lists it as uncharacterized. The record is from RefSeq and is a predicted model, not a curated record. NCBI's taxonomy places the organism in Eukaryota, Metazoa, Chordata, Actinopteri, Cyprinodontiformes, Poeciliidae. The transcript has 2 exons.